UUUUGUUUGUGCGGACAGACCGUCAGAAACAGAAGGAGAUAACCGAGAGAAGGAGCGACUCCGCGACCCACGACAGCCGCUCCGGGAACCGCCGGGGGACGAAAGAGUGCCCGAAUCCUGUCCGUGCUAUCCGGGGAGAAAAAGCGUCACGAAAACCGAUAAGACGUCAGUGGGGGGAAAACCGAGUCGGUGACAUAUAUAUGUGUAUAUGUAUGCAUGAGAAGGAAAUACUCCGAAAAAAUCCUAGGAAGGGGGUGUUUGCGGAGCGGAGACGGGGAGGAGAGGCGGAAGAGGACGGUGUCUCAUAACGAGGGGGGGAAAAACCUGCCAAAAAAAGAGAGGAGGGAAAACAUCAACAUGAAAAAUCAUAAUGUGUCCGUCGCGGAGGAAGGAGAGAGCCCGCAUAGACAAUUAUAUAAAUAAAUUGCUGCCGGGCAGAAGAGAGAGGAUUUUGUCAGCCAAAAAUAUUUCAAGGAGGAGGGGGUGUCAACAUAAUUGUGCCGAUCUGAAGCUUUCCGCUUCCGAAAUAGCCGUCAGAUUUUGAUCAAUUUUUCUCCAGUCGCCGUUGAUCCUCUGCUUUUGCUUCAGAGCUUUUUUCUUUUUUCCUCCUCCACGCGUGGCCAAGACAUCCUUAAAAGCGACGAUAUUUGUGACUUAAUCUGAGGUUUUUUCUCUAAAGUGUUUUUUUUAAAUACCAGGAGAGGAACCUCUUGUGGAGCACAAGAUAAGUAACCCAACAGACCGUCCUCUGCAAGAGAGGAAAAAUACUGAUUGGAUCAAUCUGACUGCCCGCUGAUAGGAAAUUUGCGCUGUGAUCGUCCUCGGGAAGUGUACGGAGAGAUAAAGUGUGCAUGUGGGAGAUUGCACAAGAACUGUGAUUUUUUUUUCCCCUUCUUUUUUGGUCUUGAAGAUCUUCUGUUUGCAGCCGUGCUGACUGCAAGACAUCUCGCGCAAGCGGGUUGCAACAACCACUACGUGCAAUACGAGUCCUGUUCUUUCUGACUACAGUGCCUUUUGCAUGGUCAAACACUUAAGUGCACAAACAAGUCGGCAUGUACAUGCAGAACACAACGAAUUCUAUCAUUGGGUUAUAUGUAGUGAGACAUAUACAGCCGCGAUAGACUUAUUUUUUACCCGAGAAACCGUAAGCCCGGCGCGUCGUCCUCUCUGUGCAGCUGACUAAUUUCUUCAGCUACUUUAAAAC
Molecule: long non-coding RNA, 1204 nt
Organism: Astatotilapia calliptera (eastern happy)
Lineage: Eukaryota; Metazoa; Chordata; Actinopteri; Cichliformes; Cichlidae
Source: Ensembl